AAAUUGAAGAGUUUGAUCAUGGCUCAGAUUGAACGCUGGCGGCAGGCCUAACACAUGCAAGUCGAACGGUAACAGGAAACAGCUUGCUGUUUCGCUGACGAGUGGCGGACGGGUGAGUAAUGUCUGGGAAACUGCCUGAUGGAGGGGGAUAACUACUGGAAACGGUAGCUAAUACCGCAUAACGUCGCAAGACCAAAGAGGGGGACCUUCGGGCCUCUUGCCAUCGGAUGUGCCCAGAUGGGAUUAGCUAGUAGGUGGGGUAACGGCUCACCUAGGCGACGAUCCCUAGCUGGUCUGAGAGGAUGACCAGCCACACUGGAACUGAGACACGGUCCAGACUCCUACGGGAGGCAGCAGUGGGGA
This 363-nucleotide ribosomal RNA is filed under the name Escherichia coli. RNAcentral describes it as "bacterial SSU rRNA". It matches the Rfam family "Bacterial small subunit ribosomal RNA", at positions 1 to 360 of the family's 1533-position model. The record is from RNAcentral. Lineage: Bacteria; Pseudomonadati; Pseudomonadota; Gammaproteobacteria; Enterobacterales; Enterobacteriaceae. RNAcentral also lists the same sequence under 1 other name.